GACUGGGAGAUGGUAAGAUUUCUGGGCUUCUUGAAUGGAAGACAUACAUAUCUUUCUUCUUUUUAGCACCCCCAGGUGGGUAGUAGAUCCCAAAAGAAGAAUGGCUAUAUGGUUUCCCAGAGAUUCAUUGUUCUACACAACCAUGAGAGCCACAAGCCUGCAGAGGGUUAGAGACAAUGGCAUAAUGGGAGUUUCUGUGGUAGCUAGCACAGAUGCUUUAUGGUUGGAGUCUCUGGGAUGCCUUGGUAGCAGAUAAUACCAUGGCAGUCAUUACAGUAAAGGUUUAAUUUUAAACCAGCUUGACCACUUGAGAAUUCAGCUUUGAAAUCAACAUAUUGGACUCUUUCUUACUAUGAUUUUAAGCUAAGAUUUCUGUGCACUCUAUGGAAAUCUUCCCAUACAUGCAACUAUCCCUACAGUUUGGCAUUCCUAAACUACCAAGAUUCAGACUUGGAAAGGAAUCUCAAGCCUCAUCAAUAAGAGACCCUGACUUCACAGUAAACUGUCAAAUCCUUUGCAGUUGCAGGUAUCACCACUAAAGGCUCCCUAAAGAAGAAAUUUCAGUCUUGGCGAUUGGUCUCCUAAAAAAGCCUAGAUCACUGAACAUAUACUUUGGUUAGAUGAGGUAGAAAAUGUUGUUGAUUGGUAUUUGGAAAAGUAAAAGGAAAGAAGAAAUAAAAAGGGGAGGUGGGGGAAGAAAAUGAGAAUGUAAAUAAAAAUCUACAUUAAACUUUGAGUUUUAAAAACAGGACAUCACAAACUGUUUCUUCCCCAUGGUACCAGGCUGUCUUAGCAUAUCUGCCUUUGUUCCUGGCAUCUUUGGGGAGAAUUAGAGGAAUUCUGAAUGCCUUCUGGGAUAGUAAUACCAAAAGUAAUUGACUUUCCUUUAGCAGACUCUAAGCAAAUGCAACCUGAAAUUAGGCAUGGUUUUUUACUCAUAGACAUAUUGGCAGUGUCUAUUCCAGAGAUAUAGUAGAUAACAAGAAUUUUGUUGAGUGAAUGUCUGAACCAUAUUUUCAAUCUCUAGAUAGUAACAAUGGGAAGGAGGUAGACAAGAUGAAGAAGAUGAAUAAUUUAAAUGAGAAAUGGUAAGAAGUAACCUAAUACAGUUUUCUCAACACCAGGAAAAUUUCAGUUAUGUGUCUUUUCUCCACAUUUUCUUAGGGACUUUGGUGGAGACUGUGGAUCUCCUGGUUUCAAGCACUGAUCUUGCACUUAUGAGUUUUGUGACUCUGUGCUUUCUGGACCUGAGUUUCCUCUGUAAUAAACUAGUUAUAAUAGCAUUGUUGUGCAAACUAGAAACCAGAUAAAACAGUACCUGUAAAAAUAUGCUGUAAACUGAAAAAUAUUGUAUGGUGCUAGGGCGUUAUCACAAAUAUGACAGUGCUGCUUUCUCUGUGGUUGAAAUAAAAGACCUGAUAAAACAAAUUCCUUUUGUUAGGAGCUAAAUAUCUAUUUGUAUUGCACUUAACACACACAUACACACACACACACACACACAGACUCCCUCACUCGCACAUACAUUGGUACAGCACACACAUCCCACCCCACACACAUACCACACACACAUCACAACUCUGGAAACAUUAAAUUAAAUUUCUUUCCAUAUGGCUCAGAACAUCUGGUGAUUAACAGUUAAAUAAAAUUAAUGAGGCCUUCCAUUUUUAUUAGUCACAUAGUCAUCCAUUGGAAGCAAUAGCUUUUUCCAAAAGAUCUGUUUUCUAGUUCCCUUAAGUUCCAAGUUUCCCUGGCUGACCUGACUUUGAACCUUGCUCCCUUAUAGAUAAAGGAUAAAUAUUUGGCUUACUCUAAAGGAGCUAAGCUUUCCCUAUGCAUCUAAUUGCAAGCCUCCCAUUCAUCCCUGCUGUGCUUGCUGUAAAUCAGAGGACUUUUAGCUUUGAUGUUCACUGCUUUUUAUUUCUUUAUUUCUUUUUGUGUACAAUACCUAAUGCCCUAAUUGUGUGUAUGUGUGUGUGUGUGCGUAUGUAUGUGUCUGUGUGUAUUAUGUAUGACAAGCUUGUUCUAUAGUGCAUGCUAAUGACUUUUUUAGCCAUGGGCAUUUUAUUGUAGUAGCGUCAUGUUCAAACUGAGAAAUAAUUUAUAUUCCCCAUGCCCUGGCAACAUUCAUUGCUACUAAUAUGGAAAUAGUGUGGAAUUGGACAUUUUCUUGUGACAUAUUGCUUAAUAAAUUAUAAACAUUAUCCUAUCAGAACUGACAUUGGUACAUAAAUGACAACAUAAAUGACCAUUUGCAAUAUCAGGUGGCUUAUGGUUCAGCAUGAAUAUUUAUUAUGAUUUAAUAUGAAUACUCAAUAUCCUAUAAAAGGUUGUAUAUGUCAUUACCAGUAAAAUUAAAGGUUCUUUGGUGAUUUUAACAUUUAGAAGUCAUAGAGUUUAAUAGCAUCACUAGGAUCUUCAUAUUCUAAAUGAUUGAUUUUAAAGCUCCAUAGGUUUCAAGAGGUGACUAGCAAACUCAUUUCAAUUGCAUUAAACUACAAAGAAAAUGUAUCUUUAGAACACCAUCUGGCUACUUAUCAAAACAGAUAAGAACAUUUUCACAUACUGUUUCAAAUGAAAUGAAUGCAAAGUAAAAAUUAUUUCCUUAAUAUAGUAGGUAAAAAUAUAUGCUGAUUAUUUUUCUGACUUUUAAAAUUCUUUCUUCUCCAUUUAACCACAAGUGUUAUUUUACAAUUACUUGCACCUAAAAAGCUAUUUUAAAAUCCUCUAACUCAUUUGCCCAUUUUCUAGAUGUGGAAACUAGUCUUUGAAGAUAAACAACUUGCCCAUGGUUUUAUUUGCUUGGUGGUAGAACCAUGAAAUGCAGCUUUCUGGAGUCUCUACACUUCCGUUGUUCUGAAAGAAGAAAUGGAUUUGGCAAUAUUACAAGUGUCUUAGACCUACUAAUUUAACCAAUGUUUAAGUAAUUUGUAUGUGUUCAUGGGUGGCUCAAUAUAAUAAAACAACAAUGACUACAAUGUGUAAAAUACUCUAUUGAGGACUUUCCACAUUCAGUAUAUUCCUAACUUCUUAUAAUCACUAUGUAAAACAGAUUAUCAAUGCUCUCAUUUUCCUGGUGAGGAAAUUUAAGCUUAGAGCAGUUUAACAAAUUGUUUGUAGUCAGACAGCAAGUAAUAGCAAUGCUGUGACUCAAUCAUAGGACCAGUAGUUACAUAGGUGAUACUCUUUAUACUGCACUAUUUUUUGUCUUGUUAAUCCAGAGCCAUUAAUAAUUUCAGUGUUUAGGGAUCCCAGGGUGGCUCAAUGGCUAAGCAUCUGCCUUCUGCUCAAGUCAUGAUCCCAGGGACCCGGGAUCAAGUUCCACAUCGGGUUCCCUGCAUGGGGCCUGCUUCUCCCUCUACCUGUGUCUCUGCCUCUCUCUCUGUGUCUCUCAUGAAUAAAUAAAUAAACAUUUUAAAAAUAAUAAUAAUAAUAAUUUAAGUGUUUAUAAUUACCUUGGGAAACUGAAGCUUUCUGUGGUUAUGUUACAGAGAGUCCCUGUAUCCAUGUGAAAAAAAAUAAAAUAACCUGAGCCUCUUGCCCUAUGUUCUGGAAUCUUGAGUUAUGCCUGCUAAUGAGAAGUUGUAGGGGGUGCAAUCACCCCUAUGUAGUUGAUACUGGCUUGACUGAAGCUGCAGAAAAUAGGUGACAGAAUUUCGAGGAGGCGAUGUUCAGUGAUUUUCCAAAUUUGCUUUCUUAAACUAUAAAGACUGAACACACAGUUAAAAGAGCUGUGUAAACUAAAAAUGGCAACUAGGGCCUUUUAGCAAUAAUGCUGUUACACAGAGGAAGGUCUAGAGAGAGAGUAUUAAGAUUUCCAUCUUAUGGUGGGGAUGGAGGUAGAAAAAAUAAAUAUUCAAGCCUUUAAAGAGAAAAAAAUAAUUCUGCAUCUGUGUUGUUGUCCACUGAGUUUUGAAUACCAGAAGUUCUGGGUUUUAGGUCGUGAGCUAAGGAGAUGGCUUGAAGGAUGGUGUAUUAGUAAUCUAUUUCUAGAUUUAGAGGCUUAAAAUAGCAAUGCUUAUUAUUUCAGUUUGUGUGGGUUAAGAAUUCUGGUGCAGCUUAGGUGGAAGGUUUCUGGUUCAGGGUUGCUAAUGCGGUUGUAGUGGAGAUGUUGACUGGAGCUGAAGUCAUCUCAAGGCUUGCCUGGGGAACAAGGGCUCCCUCUCAUGGCUGUUGGCUGGAGGCCUCAAUUUCUUAACCAUAAAGGGCUUUUUCAUAGAUCUGGUUGAGUGUUUUUACUAGAUGGCAGUUGGCUUCCCCUAGAAUGAGUGAACUAAGAAAGAGAGUGCCAGGUGAAAACUACAAUGCCUCUUAUCUAAUCUGGGAGGUCAGACACUCACUCACACCAGAUUCUAUUCAUUAAAAGUGAGGCACUAAGUCACACUCAAAGGGAGGGGAAUUAGGCUCCAGCGAUUGAGAGACAAACUAAAAAAAAAAGGAAUUGUGGACAUAUUUGAUGUCCACAGAUGAGCCACUGUGUGUAUGUGAUUUAAUGCUUCAAAAUAGAAGGAACUUGAGACAGCGCCAUGUCCCAAAGCCUCAUUUGACAUAAAAUCUAAUUAAGACUGAGUUGCAAUGAUUUCAUAACACAUGACUGUUGGUGGAAGAGCUAUGGCAAAAACUCUAUUCAUCUGGAUCCCAGACUCCUGCUUUUUUUCAUUUCCAAAUAUAUGAGCUUUAAAAUAUGUUUUUAAAGUCUGUUCUUCCUAUAUAUUUGGAAUACAGUGAAAGUUUGCUAAAUUUGUUUUAAAAAGGCCUUGAAAACGUCAUGAGAAGUCUCCACAGUCAGACUGUAAGGCUAAUGCUGCCAGAGUGAGGAGUGACAAUACAUCGCUCCUUGCCUGUUCUCUAAGUGAAGAGGCAUUCAACAAGGCUGACCAACACAGCACAUGGUGCUAAGAUAACAAACAAAAAUGUGCCUCCUCCGUUGAAGCAUUUCCUGACUUCACUUCCCCCAGCCUGUCAAACUAGUGGCCCCUUCCUCUGUGUUCUCACUGUAUUUAUCCUGUUUCAGGACCUCUAACACUUUGUAUCACCUCUCUUUCUACGUAUCUGCUGCUUCUGCCUUCCAGGACCUCGGCUAUGUCCUCCUACUCAUUGUGUAGUUUCAUGAUAGACAUAAUGAUAGACAAUAACAAUGACAACAUUGUUUUAUGGAAUUAUUAAGUGCACAUUAUUUUUAAAAAUACUUAACAUUGAUCUAGCCCUUAAAAAUGAGGCAAGUUUGCUUUUAAUAGAAUUAUCUACCGUAUGAUUACAGGUUCCACUUUACCACUUCCCAGCCAGACUCUACAUUUUAACAACUUGUUUAUUGAGAUACAAUUGACAAAAAAAAAAAAAAAAAAAA
This 5344-nucleotide long non-coding RNA is filed under the name Canis lupus familiaris (dog). Its description in RNAcentral is "lncRNA (ENSCAFG00000052883.1)". The record is from RNAcentral. Lineage: Eukaryota; Metazoa; Chordata; Mammalia; Carnivora; Canidae.